CCUACGGGUGGCAGCAGUGAGGAAUAUUGGUCAAUGGGCGGAAGCCUGAACCAGCCAAGUCGCGUGAGGGAUUAAGGCCCUGCGGGUCGUAAACCUCUUUUGCCGGGGAGCAGUGGUCCGGACGUGUCCGGGCCGGGAGAGUACCCGGAGAAAAAGCAUCGGCUAACUCCGUGCCAGCAGCCGCGGUAAUACGGAGGAUGCGAGGGUUAUCCGGAUUUUUUGGGGUUAAGGGGUGCGUAGGCGGGCAUUUAAGCCGGCGGUCAAAUGUCGGGGCUCAACCCCGGCCUGCCGUCGGAACUGGGUGCCUUGAGUGGGCGAGAAGUAUGCGGAAUGCGUGGUGUAGCGGUGAAAUGCAUAGAUAUCACGCAGAACCCCGAUUGCGAAGGCAGCAUACCGGCGCCCUACUGACGCUGAGGCACGAAAGUGCGGGUAUCGAACAGGAGUAGAUACCCUGGUAGUC
This 460-nucleotide ribosomal RNA is filed under the name uncultured bacterium. Its description in RNAcentral is "partial 16S ribosomal RNA". It matches the Rfam family "Bacterial small subunit ribosomal RNA", at positions 338 to 795 of the family's 1533-position model. The record is from RNAcentral.